This is a long non-coding RNA of Manis pentadactyla (Chinese pangolin), 4973 nucleotides long. RefSeq lists it as uncharacterized. The transcript has 3 exons. The record is from RefSeq and is a predicted model, not a curated record. Lineage: Eukaryota; Metazoa; Chordata; Mammalia; Pholidota; Manidae.
UUAAUUUGUCCCUAAUAGUACUAGCAAGCAGUAGUUUUUCCUGUAGUCUUGUCAAGAGAGAAUGUGUAUUUUUCACUCAUAGUGGUAGACAGGCUGCAAGUACCCAGGUAAUUUAUCAUAUUGUUCUAAUUGCAUGAGUAACCACGGAGUUUUUGCAGGUAUCCAUUCAAGAGUGGAAAGUAUAUCUUACUAGGGUUUAACCUCAGAGUUCUGUGAGCAUCCAGGUAAUGUUGAUGCGUCCCAAACUGAUACAAGGAUGACAGAAUUUGCAGGUGCACAGGGAAAGAGAGACAUGUACCAACAUAUUUUCCACCAUUUGUUUUUCUGGCAUGCCAAGAGAUUGCAGUGAGCUUAUCUGUGGCAAUUAAUGGGGCACAUUGCUGGUAUUGAGGUAAGUUAAGGUGUAGGCCUACACCACAGCACAGACCGUCUCAUCUCCUUCUGUCUAGGUAAGUAGUAAUGUGUGCCAGCACUUCUUGUUACCAUAAUUCUGUUGCAUGUAUUCAGGUAAGAAAUGAGAGCAUCCUGACCAGUUCUAGAGACCAUGAGUUUUUACUUUGUAUAUUUUAGGGAAAAUUUAUAUUUAACACAAUGAAUGUGUUUAUUGCAGAUGUUUAUCAUGGUUUUCCUACCACACUACUACCCUAGGAUCUUUACAGCGUCCAGCCAAGAAAUGGUGUUUUCCUGACCUUGGUGUUGCCCUGGGAUUACUGCAAGUAGCCAAGUAGAGUUAACGUAUUCCAUAAUGAUGAAGUGUCCAAGCUUGUUUGCGGCUGUACUGGUAGAAAAUUUAUAUCCUUUAACAUAUGUUUCAUAACAUUUUUUUCAGGUUUCUGUCCAGAGGUGACAAUGAACCUAAAAUGAGUCAUUAAUGGGGACACUGCAGGUAUGCAGGUAAGUGAUGAUAGGGGCCCAAACGACAGCACAGAACAUCUGAUCUCCAGAUAUCUAAGUGAUGACAGUGUCCCUCACACUUGUUACCGUGAUUUCUUGGCAGGCACCCAGGUAGGAAACGACAGAUCCCUCAGCAGUCUAGAAAUCAUGAGUUUUCAUGUUGUAUGUGUUAGAGGAAUUUUUUGUUUCUCUAUGUGAGUGUUCAGUCAUAUCACAUAUCCAGGUAAUUAUCGUGAUGUUCCCAGCCGUGGUAGAGACCAUGAAAAUUUUGCAGGUUUCCUGGUAAGAAAUGUUGUCUUACCUGACAAUGUUCUUGAUCUUGUCAUAGAGUUGAUGUUCUCAUUCUGAGGAAAGUGAUGAAUGUCAUUUGCAGGUAUAGUGGUAGAACACGUUGUUUCCUUUCAAACAUAUAUCAAAUGGUGUUUUUUAAAUUCAUGUCAAGAGGUCACAGUGAACCUAACAAUGGCUGUUAACAGGAGACAUUUCUGGAAGCCAGGUAAUAUGCAUUGUCACCAUAUCACAGACCAUCCAAUCUUCAUACACUUAGGUCAGGGAUGUUUGCUCUUGUUUUUCACCAUGAGAUUUUUCAGGUAGGUUUUCCAGGUAAGAAAUGAUAAUGUUUUACCAAUUCUAGAAACCAUGUUAUCCUGCCAAGAUUAUGUUUAACCAUGUGAGUGAUGAGCAAUUUUCAGAUAUCCAUGUAAUUAUCAUGGAGCUGCAAGUCAGAAAUAACCAUUUUUUUUUUGGCAGGUGAGCAUUCAAGAGAUAAUCACAUCUUAACAAUGGCGUAGACCUUGGAGUACUGCGAGAUUCCAGGUAGAUUUCAUGAGUCCUGCAGCGAUGCUGGUAACAAGGUUAUUUUCAGGGUCCAGGUAAAAAAAGUGUGUCCAUUUAUUACAAUGUGUGUUUCAGGUUACUGUUAAGAGAUCAUGGUAAACCUCAUAGUCAUCAUUAAGGGGAUUUUAUUUGUGUCCAGGUGAGUGAUGCUGUGGGCCUUUUGCAUGCUGCAGACCAUCAGGUACUCAGAAAUCUAGGUAGGUGUGGAUGGUAUUCCUAACUUCUGUGUUGCCAUUUCUUGGGCAGGUAUUCAGGUAAGAAAUGAUAUUGUCAACUAAAGCUGGUAAGCAUGAGCCCUUCUUUUAGAGUUUAUAUAUAAUGUUUGUUUAACCUUAGUAGUCGCUGAGGGAUUAUGUAGGUCUCCAGGUAGGUUAUUGUUUUGUCCAUCACAUCUUUAUUAACCAUGGCUUUUUGCAGUUAUAUUGUUGAGACAGGAUUGCGUUUCUAGGGUAUGGACCUUGAAUUUCUUCAUGUUUCCAGGUAGUUUUGAUGGACCCCCUAAAUUUGAUGGACUUCUGAAGAUAUUUAGGUUUUACCUGUAUUCCUAACACAGUUUUUAUCAAAAAUUUUUAUAGAAUCCAAUCAAGACAUGAUCAUUUGAUACCAGCCCAAUUCCAAAUUAAAUACUAUUGUUAGUCAAACCAUCCUCUCUUCACUGGUAUUUUUGCAGAUGUCCACUCUCUAUCCAAGGUCUUGACCUUGAGUUUUUACAAGUAUCUGGCUAAAUUUAAUGGUUCCCCUUAAGUUUGUAGUGCUUACAGGAUUUUCGAGUACCCAAGUUGCAGAAUUGUCCUUAUACACUGUUGCCUCCUUGUUUUUUUGUACAGUCCAGUUAAGACAUUGUUGAGAACUUCCAUAUGGUAUUGAAAGCAAAAUUUUGCUGGCAUCCAAGUAAGAUGGUGGUAUUUGUACCAAAGUUAGAGUUCAGAAGGCUUUGAAGAUACCCAGGUAGACUAAUGAUGGUGUUCUUAAGCCAACAUAGUAACCAUAUUUACUUGCAAGUAUCCUGGUAAGUUGUGUUGACUAGCCAUGGUGGUGAUCCGAGGAAGUUUGCAAAUAUCCUGUCACACUAUGAAGGUGUCUCUAACUAAGGUAUUUUCCUUGGCAAUUUGCAGGUAUCCAAGUAAGACUUGAUGGUGUCCCUAAUCAAGAGAAUGACCAUGACAUUUUGCAGUUAUCGAGGCAAGAGGUGAUAUGUCCCUACCAUGAUCUUGAUCCUGGGCCUGUCUACGUGUUCAGGUUAAGAGAUCUUACUUGUCUGAUUAUGUAACUGCCCACAGGGAUUUUUGCUGCUCUGCAGGCAGAUGAUGAUCUUUGAAAUUUGCAUGUAUCCAAGUAAGAGUUGAUAGGUCCCUUACCAUGCUAAUGGCCUUGGGAUCUAUCAUUUGUCCAGGUAAGGAGUGAUGUGUCCUUAAUCAUGUUAGUUACCGUAGGUUUUUGCAGGUAUCUAGAUAAGAGAUGAUGGUGGCCCUAACCAUGGUAUGGACCAUAGGAUUUUCUACAUGUCCAGGUAAGAUUAUCAUCUAUCAACAACUAUGUUAGUUAUCCUCAGAUUUUUUUAUGUAUUCUGGAAAGAGACAAUGGUAUUCCUAACAAUACUGAUGACCUUAGGAUUUUGUAGAUACCCAUCAAGAGAUGAUGGCAUCUCUGUCAAUAUUGGUGUCUGUGGGAAGGAAAGAAAAUGGAAUACUUUUUUCGGUUAGCUAUGUAUUUGGUUAAAGGGAUUUUUAACAUUCAGUGACUGAUAAAUCUCAUUCAUAAUCAUAUUUUCUUAUCUCAUUUACAAUCAUAUUGUCUUUAUUUGUUCAGUUUCUCCAUGAUGAUGUUUGUACCAGGCAUCUCAGGCCCACAUUUAUGAAAUUUUUUAAUUUCUAGGAACCAUCAACACAGAUAAAUUUCAUGUAAAAUGUGGUUAUUCCUAAAGAAAAUUAGGCUAUAGAGCCACUUCUUAGUUAAAGGGUUGGGGCAACCAAGGGGAGAGGAUUACUGGUGUACAUAUUCUCAAGAAAAACAUUUGUGUUCUCACCUUCUUGAUAGGAAUAGAUAUUAGAUGAUACGUUAGAAAAAUAUGUGAAACAUGAUGUAGAUUAAUGGGGACUUGAAUAGCUCUUAUCCAAUUAAUUCAGUUAUUUAAUUGCUAUUUAGAUUAUACCAUUGAAACAUAGAAAAUGAGAGCCAAAGAACUUGGUAUUGAACUAGUCCAACACUACCAUGAGUGAGAGAGCCCUGAGUGCAGAGAGGUUGAUCAAGAUCACACAAUUGUCUAGUUGGCAGGUGCUCUUAGACCACCUUGUUUUCUUUGUUUUGAAAGCCUGAGACUGGUUCAAAAGCAAUAAAGGCAAGUGCUCCAGUGCUUGUUUGAAUCAGUAUGUUUCAGGAAAUGCAUUUCCAAUCGGCCAGACUCUCCAUUGGGCACUUGGCUUUUUUGCUCAUGUAUUCAGUGUAAAAUUCUCUUUAGGGAAGCCCUGGGUCGUCCUCCUAAAGCCCCAGCUACGUAUUUGUCUAGAGAAGGGAAGCAACCUUGUCUGAAUCGGUUCAGCCAAGUGGGAUCCCUGUGAAGUUCCCUUCUCCUCCUAGGUAGCCAUUCUGGGGUCCAUUUACAACCAUUAUAGAUCUGAGUAUGGAAUCACUGCUCUGCAUCUUGACACCAUUGAACAUGUCAGGCCAAGACCCUGGAAGUGUAGUCUUACCCACGGGAAAAGAGAGGUAAAGGGGUUAACCUGCAAUAGUAGAUGAGGAUAAUGAUGGAGAAAAAAAAUUAUAGAAAUGAGGCUGAAUAAACUUGCCCAUGUGCCUUCACCCUGGCCCAUGCACAGAGUACACACUCAAAAAAAUGUUUUUUAAGUCAAUGAAUGCAGCUUGAUAGUUUGGAUGAUUGUGGAUUAGCUUGUUCAACCACCAUUCUUUCUUCUAAUGUGUGAAGGCAAGAGAGCAAAGAACUCCAUUUCCCAGACUACUUGCAACAUGCAUUCAUGCACUGGAGUCUAUAGAAAAUGCAGUCAAGAGGACGGCGCAUGAGGAGAGACAGAAGAGGUAGAACAAACCGUGAUGAGCAAAGAACCUCCCUUUCUUUAUUGACAAGUUUUACUAUGAAGCAAAAAGAUGGAGAGAUGGCACUUUUGUAGGCACUUGGCUAUGCAGCGGCUCAGUCUGGGUCCUCCAAGAAGCAGGCGCCAAGAUGAAAUGUGGAAUGAAAUGUGCUCAAACGCACUGGGGGAGAUACCUGAGCGGGAGAAAGGUGA